GGGGGUGUCACUCAGUGGUAGAGCACCUGGCUUUGUACACAGAAGGUUCUGGAUUCAAUUCUCAGCAUGUUCA
This is a non-coding RNA of Podarcis lilfordi (Lilford's wall lizard), 73 nucleotides long. The record is from the annotation of a GenBank genome assembly. NCBI's taxonomy places the organism in Eukaryota, Metazoa, Chordata, Lepidosauria, Squamata, Lacertidae.